UGCAUGCAUGACUGUAAGUCACUUUGGAUAAAAGCAUCUGUUAAAUGGCAUAUU
Molecule: non-coding RNA, 54 nt
Organism: Salmo salar (Atlantic salmon)
Lineage: Eukaryota; Metazoa; Chordata; Actinopteri; Salmoniformes; Salmonidae
Source: Rfam